Camelina sativa (false flax) is the source of this 413-nucleotide non-coding RNA. NCBI's taxonomy places the organism in Eukaryota, Viridiplantae, Streptophyta, Magnoliopsida, Brassicales, Brassicaceae. The record is from RefSeq and is a predicted model, not a curated record.
UUUUUGAAGAACGAAGCAGAUUCAAAGCAGAGCUAGGGUUUAGUUUAUGAUUGAUGACCCCGAAUUAGGGUUCUCUUUGUCUUCUAAUUGAUGAAUGAAUUAGCAAGCAGGAUAUUGUUUCCACCGGCGUCUCUUCUUCUUCUUCAAUUUUCUCUCAUCUGAUUUGAUCGACCAACUAAAGGAAGAUAUUGGUGCCAAGUGAUGAUCGGAGGAGCCGGAUGAUGGUGUUUCUUCUUCUGAUUUGACCGACCGCCAAUUACAGGUCAUAGAGAUUGAUUGAAGAAUGAAGAAGAAGAAUACUCAAGUCUGCUUUAUCUCAGAGAGAUGGAUUGAAGAGUGAAGUAGAAGAAGACUUAAGCAGACUGCUUGAGUGAUCCUAAUGGAAGUUAUAAGAAGUCACGUUGAAUUCUGAG